Molecule: long non-coding RNA, 561 nt
Organism: Astyanax mexicanus (Mexican tetra)
Lineage: Eukaryota; Metazoa; Chordata; Actinopteri; Characiformes; Acestrorhamphidae
Exons: 3
Source: RefSeq, a predicted model, not a curated record
GUCCCUGUGUGUGUACAUGAUUCUUAUAUGGCGACGAUCUCAAGUCUGCUAUUUUGUGUCAGCGGAGAAUAACAUUCUGAAAAGGACAGAGGAAGAUGGGAUCUGUUUGCCUAGCAAGUACCGUAAUCAGUUUAUAGGAUUCCCACCACAAUAUCUGGCUGAACAUUCUCAGAUAAGCUGUGGACAACUUUAGGCAUCUGUCCCCGACACUGAUGAUGGGGAGCAAAAUCUUGCUUCCAGGACUGGGUCAUUUGAGUGACUGAGCUCCAGUGUCCUGAAGGAUCCCUGCAACAAACUAGCAAUUCCUGUGGAUGAAUCCUUCUAAUGGAUGACUACAUAUCCUGAAAGUGAGUGAGUGAUGACCAAGAAAGACUUAAGACUAAAAGCCUGGAAUGUACCAUGGAGGAUCACUUCCCUGGACAGGACAGCACACUUCAGUGCAUACAUUGGAAGAAAAUUAUAUUGGAUCUAGGUUGGCUUUCAUCUUCAGAACAAAGACUUCAAGAAUUUCCCCCCGGGGACCAAUAAAGUAUCUAUCUAUCUAUCUAUCUAUCUAUCUAU